GAUGAACGCUGGCGGCGUGCCUAAUACAUGCAAGUCGAGCGAACGGACGAGAAGCUUGCUUCUCUGAUGUUAGCGGCGGACGGGUGAGUAACACGUGGAUAACCUACCUAUAAGACUGGGAUAACUUCGGGAAACCGGAGCUAAUACCGGAUAAUAUUUUGAACCGCAUGGUUCAAAAGUGAAAGACGGUCUUGCUGUCACUUAUAGAUGGAUCCGCGCUGCAUUAGCUAGUUGGUAAGGUAACGGCUUACCAAGGCAACGAUGCAUAGCCGACCUGAGAGGGUGAGCGCCACCAGGGGACUGGACACCCGGCCCGGCCCCCGAGGGGAGGCGGAAUGGGGAAUUCUUCCGAAAGGGGCAAAGCCCGGAGGGGGCAACGCCGCGGGAGUGAUGAGGUUCUUCGGAUGUUAAACCUCUUUUAUAAGGAAAAAAAAUUGGUGAAAUAAAGUGUGCACAUCUGACGGCACCCUAACCAAAAACCCACGCCAACCCCGGGC
Molecule: ribosomal RNA, 497 nt
Filed under: uncultured bacterium
Lineage: Bacteria
Description: partial 16S ribosomal RNA
Rfam family: Bacterial small subunit ribosomal RNA
Source: RNAcentral